CUAUAUUAUAUAAUCUCCAUUCUCCCAUAAACUAAUUCUACAUUUUUAAAUAUGUAGAUUUUGUUUAUAAGCUGAAUUCCAAUCCUCUUUCUUCUUUUUAACCUUCCUUACAGGAGCUGCUGAUUUUAACUUGUUUUAUAGAAAACUCCCUCUCAAGAUAAAAAAAUACUUGCAUACUAACAUCUUGCUACUUGCAAUUGCAUCCUAGUGCUGAAUAACAGGAAAUAGAUUAAAAACCCAGCGUGCUUUGUUUUUUAUUGCAUCUUUUCAAUUUAUUCUGGGAAAACCUUUCUCCUGCUUAUCUGUCUACUUUUUCAACAGUCUUCUGUGAUUGGAUUAUGAAUUCCAAUCCUCUUUCUUCUAUUUAACCUGCAUCAAAUACUGAUCACAGCCCAUUACCAAUUCAAU
Molecule: long non-coding RNA, 408 nt
Filed under: Zostera marina
Lineage: Eukaryota; Viridiplantae; Streptophyta; Magnoliopsida; Alismatales; Zosteraceae
Description: long non-coding RNA (ZMAR_LNC002627)
Source: RNAcentral